This 391-nucleotide ribosomal RNA is filed under the name uncultured bacterium. Its description in RNAcentral is "bacterial SSU rRNA". It matches the Rfam family "Bacterial small subunit ribosomal RNA", at positions 28 to 420 of the family's 1533-position model. The record is from RNAcentral.
GACGAACGCUGGCGGCGUGCUUAACACAUGCAAGUCGAGCGGUAAGGCCCUUUCGGGGGUACACGAGCGGCGAACGGGUGAGUAACACGUGGGUGACCUGCCCUCAGCUCUGGGAUAAGCCUGGGAAACCGGGUCUAAUACCGGAUAUGACUCCAUGACGCAUGUUGUGGGGUGGAAAGCCUUGUGCGGCUGGGGAUGGGCCCGCGGCCUAUCAGCUUGUUGGUGGGGUGAUGGCCUACCAAGGCGACGACGGGUAGCCGGCCUGAGAGGGCGACCGGCCACACUGGGACUGAGACACGGCCCAGACUCCUACGGGAGGCAGCAGUGGGGAAUCUUGCGCAAUGGGCGAAAGCCUGACGCAGCGACGCCGCGUGAGGGAUGACGGCCUGGU